RNAcentral lists this ribosomal RNA (541 nucleotides) under uncultured bacterium. Its description in RNAcentral is "bacterial SSU rRNA". It matches the Rfam family "Bacterial small subunit ribosomal RNA", at positions 355 to 896 of the family's 1533-position model. The record is from RNAcentral.
UAAGGAAUAUUGGGCAAUGGAGGCAACUCUGACCCAGCCAUCCCGCGUGAAGGAUUAAGGCCCUAUGGGUUGUAAACUUCUUUUGUUUGGGAAGAAAUCUAGACAUUUAUGUGUAGUUGACGGUACCUUACGAAUAAGCACCGGCUAACUCCGUGCCAGCAGCCGCGGUAAUACGGAGGGUGCAAGCGUUAUCCGGAAUCACUGGGUUUAAAGGGUGCGUAGGCGGUUUGAUAAGUCAGAGGUGAAAGCUAGCAGCUUAACUGUUAAAUUGCCUUUGAUACUGUCAGACUUGAAUCAAGUUGAGGUAGGCGGAAUGUGACAUGUAGCGGUGAAAUGCAUAGAUAUGUCAUAGAACACCAAUUGCGUAGGCAGCUUGCUGGGCUUGAAUUGACGCUGAGGCACGAAAGCGUGGGGAUCAAGCAGGAUUAGAUACCCUGGUAGUCCACGCCCUAAACGAUGUUAACUCGAUAUUUAUUCUACGGAGUGAGUGUCCAAGCGAAAGCGUUAAGUUAACCACCUGGGGAGUACGUUCGCAAGAAUG